This 703-nucleotide long non-coding RNA is filed under the name Manihot esculenta (cassava). RNAcentral describes it as "long non-coding RNA (MESC_LNC012777)". The record is from RNAcentral. Lineage: Eukaryota; Viridiplantae; Streptophyta; Magnoliopsida; Malpighiales; Euphorbiaceae.
GGCAGGCUUCGGCAGCCGAAAGGCUUGCCUCCCCAGCCAUGUUCGGCGGCCGAAAGUCCUUCGGCUGCCGAACCUGGUUUCUGCCAAAGGGAAGAAACUUGGCUCCUUUUGCACAUUUCGCCUCCAAACCUUCCAAACAUGCAUCAAACCUAUUCUACAACACACAAACACAAGCAUACAUGUUCCUAGGGGCCACAAAUCAUCAUAAACCCCAUCUACAACACAUCAAGCAUCCACAUUGUUCAUGAGUAUACAUUUAUACCCAUAAACAUAACUAUAACCUAAACAUGCAUUCUACCCCCAUAGAUCUACUUAAAACUUACUUAAAACAUACAAUGAGCUUAAGAUCGGCUCUUACCUCUUGAAGAUAGAGAGAGAGACGACCAAAAACUCGGAGGUGGGAGAGAUUGGGUUCUUGAACCUCCAAGCUCCAAAACUUUGCUCAAAAGCUCAAAUCUUCAAAACAAAGUUAAAACAAAUGAAAAACUUGAAAGAUCUAGAGGGAAAACAUCAAAGAUCGGUGAGGGACGGCGGAGAGCUCACCUUGGCCGAAAAUGGGGAAAAAGCUCGCCCGUUUUCGGCUAAGGGACCCUUUUAUAGUGGUUGUCCAGGCCACGUUCGGGGGCCGAAUGUGCCUCCGCAUGCAUGCCAUGUUCGGCGGCCGAACUUGAGGUUCGGCGGCCGAACCAGGACUUCCCUCACU